AAUUGAGAUGUUUGUGAAUGCAUGAGAAUGAAAUGGAUGAAUUCUAGUCUUGACAAAUUGUAAAUACACUAUGUUAAAUUCCUUGCACACCAACUGUUUGAUAAAAUACCAAAAAGAGUUUCUUGUGUUGUUUUUGUGCACUUUGAUGUCUAAUUGAGUUAUAAAAGGAAGAAUUGUCAUGUGUUGCACAAGUCCCUUGGGAGAGAACGAUAUUUAUCACUUGCUACGCUGCAACCG
RNAcentral lists this long non-coding RNA (237 nucleotides) under Vigna radiata. Its description in RNAcentral is "long non-coding RNA (VRAD_LNC010327)". Lineage: Eukaryota; Viridiplantae; Streptophyta; Magnoliopsida; Fabales; Fabaceae. The record is from RNAcentral.